GGGGGAAACCCCAUCCAUGGCAGACGUAUCUAUCCAUGUCUGGAAAAAAAGUCCAUUCCUGGGAGAAGAGAGACUUCUCUGCAUUGACUAGCAGUCCCAAAGCAUUGAAUGUUGACUACAUUAGAGAUACCUAAUACAGAGUACCUGCCUCUUGGAUCAGCCCUUGACAAGCCAGUUGUACAGAUAGAGAACCUGACAAAGAGGUAGAGCAGAAAAAUGGUGCAUCUGCUGAGGUCAGUAGUGCUUUCUGACUGGGGCAGGAAUGUACAAACCCAAGGAUUUUAAAGUGGCUCUUGAGUCCUCAAGCACAUGGUGCUUACAGUCCAUCUGGCCUGAGAACAGAGAAGGACACUCAAAAGGAAAGUUCUGAAUACUAUUCUGGACUUCAUAGGGGAGACCAGAAGACUGUAACCACAAGUCAUGGCUCUAGCUGCUGAGUCUGCCACACUCUGCACAGCAUGCAGUGAUGUUCUUGCUACUUGUCUGCCCUUGUUCAUCAGAGAACAGAACUCUUGCCUAGCACUCUCAGGAAGCAGUUCUUUGAACUUUUCCCUAGAUCCCCAUAAUUUAAAAUCAUAGUGU
This is a long non-coding RNA of Mauremys reevesii (Reeves's turtle), 582 nucleotides long. RefSeq lists it as uncharacterized. Lineage: Eukaryota; Metazoa; Chordata; Testudines; Geoemydidae. The record is from RefSeq and is a predicted model, not a curated record. The transcript is spliced from 3 exons.